GCACAGGAGCACCAAACAAAAUGUCACUUUGAGAGAUACUGGAACAAGAAAGAUAAUAAUGCUGUAGAUGAAGGCCAUUACUUAUGCCACUAUGAAUGUGAAGAUGGACCUCUGGGAAUGACCCCCUACAACUCAGAAAGUUGGAAAGCAUGUUUUGAAAGCUGCUCUGUAGCAAGAGACAAUGCUGCUUUCAUGCUGCCCAUCAAGACAUUCUGUCCAUGCAAAUAAAGGUGCAGAUGAAGAUUGCAAGUCCUUGUACCCCAGAAGUGCUCGGAGAUCCAGAUGGAGCAGCCCCCAGAACCCGUGGCAUGGGAUUCAGUGUUUUGCCAGGCUGGGGACCACUGACAGCUUCUGACAGAAAGAGCAUGAUUGUCCUGAGUGACUGAGGUGCAGAGUCUGCCCUGGGACUGUAGAAGAGCUCUGAGAAACUGCUGUAAGAGAUGAAAGAGCUGAAAAAUUCCCAAAUGACACCUAAAUAAAAGGCUACAAGAGCAGAGGGGUGGGAAAGGAGGCUCCUCUGCUCAUGUUUGAGGCUAAAUGUUCAGCAUAUCAUCUUUGCAACAGCAGUGAAGUGAUGGGCAUCCGUUUCUCUGACCUCUUUCAAGACAGCAUUUUUCUUUCUGUGUCUGAAAUCAUUCCUGGUUCACCUUCUGAGGACCUUUCUAGUUCAAUCUACAAAACCUUUUGCAACUCACUGAUACUCAGUGAAAAGCCAUUUGGAAGGCAAUGAAUCAUGAAGUGGUCUGAUAAAUAGUUGGCAGAGGAAAGAUGCUCCAGUGCUUGGGAGAUUAGCCUGGGAUUUGGAUGAUCAUGUUGGCUUUUCUUUUUUAAUUUUUCUUUUUUUUUUUCCUCUACAGCAGCUUGGGCAUGUAAUUUAGCUUCACUUUGCAGCUCAUGAAAGUGUUGUGGGAAUGGCCUCUGAGGUGAUUGGUCAUCACAGCAGGAUGGUAUUAAAAGAAAGAUUGGAGCCUUCUCUAUUGUUUUUUUUUUCUUCUAACUUUUGGUUAAAUACACUGCCAAUUUCAGUUCCUUUCAUACCUCUAA
Zonotrichia leucophrys gambelii is the source of this 1044-nucleotide long non-coding RNA. RefSeq lists it as uncharacterized. Lineage: Eukaryota; Metazoa; Chordata; Aves; Passeriformes; Passerellidae. The record is from RefSeq and is a predicted model, not a curated record. The transcript has 4 exons.